AGAGUUUGAUCCUGGCUCAGAACGAACGCUGGCGGCAUGCCUAACACAUGCAAGUCGAACGAAGCCUUCGGGCUUAGUGGCGCACGGGUGCGUAACGCGUGGGAACCUGCCUUUAGGUUCGGAAUAACUCAGAGAAAUUUGAGCUAAUACCGGAUAAUGUCUUCGGACCAAAGAUUUAUCGCCUUUAGAUGGGCCCGCGUUAGAUUAGAUAGUUGGUGGGGUAAUGGCCUACCAAGUCGACGAUCUAUAGCUGGUCUGAGAGGAUGAUCAGCCACACUGGGACUGAGACACGGCCCAGACUCCUACGGGAGGCAGCAGUGGGGAAUAUUGGACAAUGGGCGAAAGCCUGAUCCAGCAAUGCCGCGUGAGUGAUGAAGGCCUUAGGGUUGUAAAGCUCUUUUACCCGGGAUGAUAAUGACAGUACCGGGAGAAUAAGCUCCGGCUAACUCCGUGCCAGCAGCCGCGGUAAUACGGAGGGAGCUAGCGUUGUUCGGAAUUACUGGGCGUAAAGCGCGCGUAGGCGGCUAUUUAAGUCAGGGGUGAAAUCCCGGGGCUCAACCCCGGAACUGCCCUUGAAACUGGAUAGCUAGAAUCCUGGAGAGGCGAGUGGAAUUCCGAGUGUAGAGGUGAAAUUCGUAGAUAUUCGGAAGAACACCAGUGGC
RNAcentral lists this ribosomal RNA (662 nucleotides) under uncultured bacterium. RNAcentral describes it as "bacterial SSU rRNA". It matches the Rfam family "Bacterial small subunit ribosomal RNA", at positions 8 to 716 of the family's 1533-position model. The record is from RNAcentral.